Molecule: long non-coding RNA, 388 nt
Filed under: Gossypium barbadense (sea-island cotton)
Lineage: Eukaryota; Viridiplantae; Streptophyta; Magnoliopsida; Malvales; Malvaceae
Description: long non-coding RNA (GBAR_LNC020008)
Source: RNAcentral
GAGGCGUUAGAAGAAAGAAACGAAGAAUGAUCAGUUUUGUCUUCAAAGUGCAAAAGCAAACAACCCAUCAGUUCAAGUGAUCCGGCGUGAAGACUUGCUCCAACAGCGAAAAAGUUUAGAUCAAAAUGAACUUGAAUUAAAAAAUAAGACGUAUUUAGAAAAUGAAUUGGAUUCCGAAUAAAACUUCUUUAAUCUAAGCCUGACCCACUAGAAUUUUUUAACUAUUCUUUUAAGUAGACUGAGUUACUGACUGUCAUUAGAAUACCUUAUUAUUUCCCUUAUUCCCAAUACCUAAUCAAUUCCUACUUCCUAAAAACAAAAUCCCUGCCGCUCACCGCUCCAGCCCCGUUGUCCGUCAGUCCGUCUCCCGCUCACCACUGGUUUGCUC